UGGAAGCUUGCUUCCACUGGAGAAAGGAUAGUCGGCGAACGGGUGAGUAACGACGUGGGUAAACCUGCCCAUAAAGAGGGGGGAUAACCAUCCGGAAACGGGUGCUAAUACCGCAUAGUUUCUUGAUCGCAUGAUCGGGAAGGAAAGACGGCCUUUGUGCUGUCGGCUUAUGGAUGGACCCGCGGCGUAUUAGUUAGUUGGUGAGGUAACGGCUCACCAAGACGAUGAUACGUAGCCGACCUGAGAGGGUGAUCGGCCACAUUGGGACUGAGACACGGCCCAGACUCCUACGGGAGGCAGCAGUGGGGAAUAUUGGGCAAUGGGCGCAAGCCCUGACCCAGCAACGCCGCGUGAAGGAAGAAGGCUUUCGGGUUGUAAACGUUCUUUUACCAGGGACGAAGGAUGUGACGGUACCUGGAGAAAAAGCCACGGCUAACUACGUGCCAGCAGCAGC
RNAcentral lists this ribosomal RNA (454 nucleotides) under uncultured bacterium. Its description in RNAcentral is "bacterial SSU rRNA". It matches the Rfam family "Bacterial small subunit ribosomal RNA", at positions 65 to 518 of the family's 1533-position model. The record is from RNAcentral.